GAACUAAAGAGUUUGAUCCUGGCUCAGAUUGAACGCUGGCGGCAUGCUUUACACAUGCAAGUCGAACGGCAGCACAGGGAGCUUGCUCCCGGGUGGCGAGU
RNAcentral lists this ribosomal RNA (101 nucleotides) under Sutterella sp. Its description in RNAcentral is "partial 16S ribosomal RNA". It matches the Rfam family "Bacterial small subunit ribosomal RNA", at positions 1 to 96 of the family's 1533-position model. The record is from RNAcentral. Lineage: Bacteria; Pseudomonadati; Pseudomonadota; Betaproteobacteria; Burkholderiales; Sutterellaceae.